RNAcentral lists this ribosomal RNA (253 nucleotides) under uncultured bacterium. RNAcentral's name for it is "partial 16S ribosomal RNA". It matches the Rfam family "Bacterial small subunit ribosomal RNA", at positions 524 to 776 of the family's 1533-position model. The record is from RNAcentral.
UACAGAGGUCCCAAGCGUUGUUCGGAUUCACUGGGCGUAAAGGGUGCGUAGGUGGUGAGGUAAGUCGGAUGUGAAAGCUCGGAGCUCAACUCCGAAAUGGCAUUGGAAACUACCUUGCUCGAGGGUUGGAGGGGUGACUGGAAUGCUUGGUGUAGCAGUGAAAUGCGUAGAUAUCAAGCGGAACACCAGUGGCGAAGGCGAGUCCCUGGACAACUCCUGACACUGAGGCACGAAAGCCAGGGGAGCAAACGGG